Molecule: ribosomal RNA, 253 nt
Filed under: uncultured bacterium
Lineage: Bacteria
Description: partial 16S ribosomal RNA
Rfam family: Bacterial small subunit ribosomal RNA
Source: RNAcentral
UACGUAGGUGGCAAGCGUUGUCCGGAAUUAUUGGGCGUAAAGCGCGCGCAGGUGGUUCCUUAAGUCUGAUGUGAAAGCCCCCGGCUCAACCGGGGAGGGUCAUUGGAAACUGGGGAACUUGAGUGCAGAAGAGGAUAGUGGAAUUCCAAGUGUAGCGGUGAAAUGCGUAGAGAUUUGGAGGAACACCAGUGGCGAGGGCGACUGUCUGGUCUGUAACUGACACUGAGGCGCGAAAGCGUGGGGAGCAAACAGG